Molecule: transfer RNA, 74 nt
Filed under: Chloroflexota bacterium
Lineage: Bacteria; Bacillati; Chloroflexota
Description: Chloroflexi bacterium (freshwater metagenome) tRNA-Thr
Source: RNAcentral
GCUCGGAUAGCGUAGUGAUUAGCGCAGCCGGUUCGUGAUCGGCGGGCUAGGGGAUUCGGAUCCCCUACCGGGCU